RNAcentral lists this ribosomal RNA (253 nucleotides) under uncultured bacterium. Its description in RNAcentral is "partial 16S ribosomal RNA". It matches the Rfam family "Bacterial small subunit ribosomal RNA", at positions 524 to 776 of the family's 1533-position model. The record is from RNAcentral.
UACGUAGGGGGCAAGCGUUGUCCGGAAUCAUUGGGCGUAAAGAGCGUGUAGGCGGCCCGGUAAGUCCGCUGUGAAAGUCCAGGGCUCAACCCUGGGAUGCCGGUGGAUACUGUCGGGCUCGAGUCCGGAAGAGGAGUGUGGAAUUCCUGGUGUAGCGGUGAAAUGCGUAGAUAUCAGGAGGAACACCGGUGGCGAAGGCGGCUUUCUGGACAGUAACUGACGCUGAGGCGCGAAAGCUAGGGGAGCAAACAGG